RNAcentral lists this long non-coding RNA (296 nucleotides) under Rattus norvegicus (Norway rat). Its description in RNAcentral is "long non-coding RNA NONRATT033177". The record is from RNAcentral. Lineage: Eukaryota; Metazoa; Chordata; Mammalia; Rodentia; Muridae.
UGUGGUUUGGCACCAGAUGUCUCCUCAUCUCUGCCUUCUUGAUUCCAUUUCAGACUCCUGGGUGAAUCGCCAUGCCUGAUUCGGUUGAUUUCAAAGCCAACUUUAGACGAUGUCCUGGGACCUUAUGCUACAGCCCGAUGUGGAACAAAGAGAGUGAAACACAUCAGUAUGUUUCUUCUUUUCCACAGUUUCCAUCUCAAGAAUGAUGAAAGAGUAACCAGGGUGUGUCAAAUGCUCUCUACAAACUAUACAAAGCCCAGGAUGAGACCAAGCCACCAUUAGCACCACCAUGUCUC